GGACUACACGGGUAUCUAAUCCCGUUCGCUCCCCUAGCUUUCGCACAUGAGCGUUAGUAACUUGCCAGGACGCUGCCUUCGCCUUUGGUGUUCUUCCAGAUCUCUACGCAUUUCACCGCUCCACCUGGAAUUCCGCGUCCCUCUCAAGCCCUCAAGUCCGGCCGUCUUCAGUGCCCUGCGGGAGUUAAGCCCCCACCUGUCACACCAAACUGACCCGACCGCCUGCGUGCCCUUUACGCCCAAUAAAUCCGGACAACGCUUGCCCCCUACGUAUUACCGCGGCUGCUGGCAC
This 292-nucleotide ribosomal RNA is filed under the name uncultured bacterium. RNAcentral's name for it is "partial 16S ribosomal RNA". The record is from RNAcentral.